This is a long non-coding RNA of Acinonyx jubatus (cheetah), 525 nucleotides long. RefSeq lists it as uncharacterized. NCBI's taxonomy places the organism in Eukaryota, Metazoa, Chordata, Mammalia, Carnivora, Felidae. The record is from RefSeq and is a predicted model, not a curated record. The transcript is spliced from 4 exons.
UUAAUUACAUCACCGUAGUGGACUCUGUGCAUGUGGAAAACUUGAACCCACAGAAACAACUCAUUAAUCUUCACAAGCUCUUCUAAGUGAGGAGAAUUAUUCUGUGUGGGUGCGUUCACAACAAGCCUUCAAGAGGUUGAGCAGAAAAGAGGAAAUAUGCUGAACAUUUUAGGAUGUGGCAAAGCCCUGACUCUCAGAUCUCAGAAGAAGCUGCUGGCAGUAGGAGUCUCCAGACUUCCGCCAGCAUCUAUGAAAGUGUGGCAGGCCUACUUAAUAGCUGACAGAGAGAUGGAGCACAAGUGGGGAGGGUCAGAGAGAGAGGAAGACACAGAAUCCGAAGCAGGCUGCAGGCUCCGAGCUGUAAGCACAAAGACCAACAUAGGACCCGAACUCACAAACCGCAAGAUCAUGACCUGAGCUGAAGUUGGACGCCUAACCAACUGAGCCACCCAGGCGCCCCAAGAAUUAAUCAAUUUUAAUUUUAAUACAAUAAAUAGUGAUAAAUUUAAUCCACAUAAGCAAAAA